Molecule: ribosomal RNA, 553 nt
Filed under: Meyerozyma carpophila
Lineage: Eukaryota; Fungi; Ascomycota; Pichiomycetes; Serinales; Debaryomycetaceae
Description: LSU rRNA
Rfam family: Eukaryotic large subunit ribosomal RNA
Source: RNAcentral
UGUAGACACAGGGAUUGCCUUAGUAGCGGCGAGUGAAGCGGCAAAAGCUCAAAUUUGAAAUCUGGCGCCUUCGGUGUCCGAGUUGUAAUUUGAAGAUUGUAACCUUGGGGUUGGCUCUUGUCUAUGUUUCUUGGAACAGGACGUCACAGAGGGUGAGAAUCCCGUGCGAUGAGAUGCCCAAUCCUAUGUAAGGUGCUUUCGAAGAGUCGAGUUGUUUGGGAAUGCAGCUCUAAGUGGGUGGUAAAUUCCAUCUAAAGCUAAAUAUUGGCGAGAGACCGAUAGCGAACAAGUACAGUGAUGGAAAGAUGAAAAGAACUUUGAAAAGAGAGUGAAAAAGUACGUGAAAUUGUUGAAAGGGAAGGGUUUGAGAUCAGACUCGAUAUUUUGUGAGCCUUGCCUUCGUGGCGGGGUGACCCGCAGCUUAUCGGGCCAGCAUCGGUUUGGGCGGUAGGAUAAUGGCGUAGGAAUGUGACUUUACUUCGGUGAAGUGUUAUAGCCUGCGUUGAUGCUGCCUGCCUAGACCGAGGACUGCGAUUAUCAAUGAUGCGGCAUU